UUUGAGGAACAACUGGAAAAGUGUCGAUGGAAGACCUGAGACAUAGUCCCAAGGCCAAAGCGGAUCCCGAGAAACGAAGCCUCUCUGACCGCGAGUCAGGUUCAGUAAAGACGGAGCAAGGAAACAGGCGCCACCAGAAAGAGCCCUGCAUCUCCGACGGAAACCACAAUGGAAUCCUGCACUUCCACUCUGCACUGUCUCUCAGCCACAAGCAUUCGGGCAGCCAAGCCUCCCAGCGGUCCCCUCUGGAGGCUGAAGCUGGAGGACAUCCGUCCCCCUCAGCCCCCCCGCCCCACCUCUAGCUGAAGCACAGCUUUGGCAUGCCUCUUCCGCCACCCUUUCCUGGGAACCUCACUUUUUGGAGCAUCCCAGCUUGGCCAUACCAAGAGAGGCAACAGCAUCUGGGCUGUGGACUCCAAGCAGCUUGACUGGGGUUUAACUGUGAUGCUGAAUUCACCUCAUGCAGGAGUCUGGGGCUCUGUUUACAACAUGUGUCAUAUCCUUUCUCAGUGCCCCCGCCCCCAGCUGCCCUCCUCCCAACUCCUCUCCCCCCACCUAACCCCCGCCUUCCCUCCACAACCUCCUGGCCAAAUAAACAGAUUUCUCUCUAAGUGAAGGGGCUGGGGAAGCCGACAAUUACUGUCCCUGAUUUCACUGAGGAAACUUUACAGCGGACAGACGCACUGAAAAAUCUUCCUCUGCCCUCCCACUCCUCCAAGAGAGCGAAAAAAUCCAUCAAAUUAACACAUCAAUGAGUUGAUUGUAAUCUCCAGAGCCCGGUGUAGCACUUUCUAGCCUCUGAGACGGGCCCGGCAUGAUUUAUCAAUGCAAACCUAAUAGCAUCAAUAUGAAUCUAACUAAAAAUCAAUAUUUCAUUACCAAAUUGUUAGUGAGAAUGAAGAAAAAUUGCCGGAGUCGGAGUGUUCUCCAGGGUAGGAGCAUCUGGAGUUCAAUGUGACAAGAUGAGUGAUGUGUGACUUGGGGCCCGGGAAGGACGAUGGGAGGACAGGGGCCAGCCCGCGCCGUGGCCCGAGCCUCCUGGAGAAAUCGCCCUGCGCUUCUCUCCUUCGUUUUUUUUUUUUUUCCUUCAGCCUCCUCGGAGCAGGCAAAGGAAGAAAUGGUGGGAGGAGGGGAGCAGAAACC
This 1143-nucleotide long non-coding RNA is filed under the name Ornithorhynchus anatinus (platypus). RNAcentral's name for it is "lncRNA (ENSOANG00000047531.1)". Lineage: Eukaryota; Metazoa; Chordata; Mammalia; Monotremata; Ornithorhynchidae. The record is from RNAcentral.